RNAcentral lists this ribosomal RNA (253 nucleotides) under uncultured bacterium. RNAcentral's name for it is "partial 16S ribosomal RNA". It matches the Rfam family "Bacterial small subunit ribosomal RNA", at positions 524 to 776 of the family's 1533-position model. The record is from RNAcentral.
UACGGAGGGUGCAAGCGUUGUCCGGAUUUAUUGGGUUUAAAGGGUGCGUAGGCGGCUAUUUAAGUCAGUGGUGAAAUCCUUCAGCUUAACUGGAGAACUGCCAUUGAUACUGAAUAGCUUGAGUAUAGUUGAGGUAGGCGGAAUUGACAGUGUAGCGGUGAAAUGCUUAGAUAUUGUCAAGAACACCGAUUGCGAAGGCAGCUUACUAAACUAUAACUGACGCUGAGGCACGAAAGCGUGGGGAUCAAACAGG